RNAcentral lists this long non-coding RNA (218 nucleotides) under Nicotiana benthamiana. Its description in RNAcentral is "long non-coding RNA (NBEN_LNC030637)". Lineage: Eukaryota; Viridiplantae; Streptophyta; Magnoliopsida; Solanales; Solanaceae. The record is from RNAcentral.
UUGGCUAUACAGAAAAUCAAGAUAAGUUGUUUGAUUCAGUUUAAAGUCUGGAAAUCAAGGAAUGUAAGCAUCAUAUGUUAGUAAGUAGCAUCUAUAAUAGAAUCCAGAGUAACUAAGAAAAAAAAAUUUGAGUAGCUUGGAGGUCGAUUGUCAUUACGCUCUAUUUGGUCAGUGAAAGGCAAGAGAAUGUUCCGUUGAUGUUCUCAGUUUGAUACAUG